Molecule: ribosomal RNA, 465 nt
Filed under: uncultured bacterium
Lineage: Bacteria
Description: partial 16S ribosomal RNA
Rfam family: Bacterial small subunit ribosomal RNA
Source: RNAcentral
GACGAACGCUGGCGGCGUGCUUAACACAUGCAAGUCGUACGGUAAGGCCCUUUCGGGGGUACACGAGUGGCGAACGGGUGAGUAACACGUGAGUAACCUGCCCACAACUUUGGGAUAACGCUAGGAAACUGGUGCUAAUACUGGAUAUGUGCUCCUGCUGCAUGGUGGGGGUUGGAAAGCUCCGGCGGUUGUGGAUGGACUCGCGGCCUAUCAGCUUGUUGGUGGGGUAGUGGCCUACCAAGGCGGCGACGGGUAGCCGGUCUGAGAGGGUGACCGGCCACAUUGGGACUGAGAUACGGCCCAGACUCCUACGGGAGGCAGCAGUGGGGAAGAUUGCACAAUGGGCGCAAGCCUGAUGCAGCAACGCCGCGUGCGGGAUGACGGCCUUCGGGUUGUAAACCGCUUUCAGCAGGGACGAAGCUUUUUGUGACGGUACCUGCAGAAGAAGCACCGGCUAACUACGUG